AUUAAAGAAAGACAAAUGUAAUAAUAUAUGUGUAUACAAAUGUAAAAUAGAUAUUGAAUAUUAAAUAGAUAUUUUAUUAUAGCUAUUAUUAAGUUAUUAUAAUAUAUAUAUAUAUAUAUAUAUAUAUAUAAAUAAAGGAAAAGGAAAAAAAAAGAAAAAGAAUAGAAAAAGAAAGAAAGGAUGAAACGAAACAGAGAGCAGGGGAAAGAAAGAAUGAAGGAAAAAGAAAGAAGGAAAAAGGGAAAAAUUGGGAUUUCAAGGCUUGAAAGUUAAAUAGGUUAAGUUAAGGCUAGACUGUUGAAUCAGCAUCCCAGGCCGAUCCCGAAUUCAAUGAGGUAAAGUAUGUUGAGUAUUGAUAAUGGCAUGUACCUAGGAUCUUUAAUGAGAGUCAUUUAGGUUGUAAAAGUAUUGAUGAAAUAAGUAAAUUAUGGUUGUCAACGGUAUAUAGUAUGAAUUUUGAAAUUUAUUAAAAAUUCGUAGUGAUUCUAAAUUAGUUUCAAAUUGAA
This is a long non-coding RNA of Gossypium arboreum, 506 nucleotides long. RefSeq lists it as uncharacterized. Lineage: Eukaryota; Viridiplantae; Streptophyta; Magnoliopsida; Malvales; Malvaceae. The record is from RefSeq and is a predicted model, not a curated record. The transcript has 2 exons.